GGCGUCGAUCGACGCGGUCAACCCUUUUUACACUCUCGUUUCACUAUGAGGAGCCAUGUCAUCGGGAGAUGAUUAUCAUCAACUUUUUACAUGAAUUCAUAUAUGAUAACACUAUAAGAGUAUGAGUGUCGGUAGAAUCAAUAAAGUCAGUACCAACAUUGCAGUUCAACGUGUUUUUUGUGUAACUACAAUGGUCAAAUUAUGGUUGAUCACAAGUCUUCUAUAUUCAGACAACCCUUAAUAUUUUGUUGCGUUGUCUAAUUGUGAGUGAAAACUAGCGGGAAAUCUGCUGCUCUUACAAAUUUGAUUGGGUAUUUAAGCUUCUAAAUUUAGACAACCAUAAUGAUAUUAUGCGUUGUGUGAUUUUAAGAGUGAAUAGUACUCAGACAACCAUAAUGCUACUAUACAUUGUAUGACUAUAAGAGUGAAAAGUACUAGCAGGAAAUCUCCCGCUUUUACAAUCUUAGAUGAAUAUAUAACACUCUCUUCAGACGACAAACUUGGUUUGUUGCGUUGUCUAAUGUGUUAAUGUUUCAAUUUGACUAUAAGAGUGAAAAGUACUAGCGGGAAAUCUCCCGCUUUUACAAUCUUAGAUGAAUAUAUAACACAUUCUCUUCAGACGACAAACUUACAAUCUUAGAUGAAUAUAUAACACACUCUCUUCAGACGACAAACUUGGUUUGUUGCGUUGUCUAAUGUGUUAACAAAAAAAAUACUUAAAAAAAAACACUAGCCUCUCAAUUUCUCAAACCCUAAGCCCUUAAUUGGACAUUCAUUUAACCUAGCUAGCUAACAAACUUGCGCCCACUUCUACACUUACACAAAAAAUCCAAAUCCGUCUCCCCAUUCUUCUUCUCUCUUUCGCCCGCACCUCACUCUUUAAUAUUGAGUUUAAUAUUGAGUAGCCGAACCCAAUCAAAGUUCCUCUACAAACACUAUCUCUUCUUCUACAAUUGCAGUAGGACUUCCUAAUGCUCUCUUCAAUUACAGGUUUAGAGGACGGGUUCUUCCUAAUGCUCUCUCUCUCUCUCUCCUAACUUACUCUCUUCUCCACUCGAUUUUGUCUCAAUAUAUUCUCAAUCGAACUGAGAAACAUAAAACUUGCCACCCUCUCUCUCGAUUAGGGCGGGAUUCGAUUAGUACUCUAGAACAGGUUCUUCGAAUGAGGGUUUCUAGGCUUCUUUGAUUCACUGAGUUUGGUUAGGGUCAUAUUCGAUUAUGUUCUGGGACUAGGUCUUCUAUUUGGGGGUAUCUAGGCUUCUUGGAUUCGGUGAGUUAACUUUGUGGAUCUUUUAUUUAGGUGCCUCAUAAAGUGAGGAAUUUCUUGAAGUUGAGAGUAGCGAAACCAUCGGCAAUGUCAAAGCCAAGAUCCAGGUACGUGUUUUUGUCUCCCUCCCUAUUCUAAUUUUCUGUAAUAAGAUUUCUAUCUAAAUGUGUUCAAGAUUUUUGUUGGGAUGUACUUUUGAUUAUUAGCUAGUAUUGGUAGGUUCUUUAGAAUGCUUAGAUCAAAAAUAGAGCAAAGAUCACAUAGUGCACAGCACAUGUUUGAUAUUAUGUCUCAAAGACACCACCAAGCUAAAACCAGUGGGCUUUUCCAAGAUUUUCGAAAAGCUUAUAAUUCUUCUUUUAAUCUCAGUUUUUAACAGUUAAAAAUAGACUCUUCAAUAAUCGUUUUAAAAUUGGUUUCAAGCAAAACAGAGUUGAUUUGAGAAACUUGUGCUAUUUUGAAGUUCACAAGUGUUUUAAAAUCUUCUGUAGAAACUGCA
This 1766-nucleotide long non-coding RNA is filed under the name Fragaria vesca (wild strawberry). RNAcentral's name for it is "long non-coding RNA (FVES_LNC003337)". The record is from RNAcentral. Lineage: Eukaryota; Viridiplantae; Streptophyta; Magnoliopsida; Rosales; Rosaceae.